UACGGGGGGGGCAAGCGUUGUUCGGAAUUACUGGGCGUAAAGGGCUCGUAGGUGGCCAACUAAGUCAGACGUGAAAUCCCUCGGCUUAACCGGGGAACUGCAUCUGAUACUGGAUGGCUUGAAUUCGGGAGAGGGAUGCAGAAUUCCAGGUGUAGCGGUGAAAUGCGUAGAUAUCUGGAGGAAUACCGGUGGCGAAGGCGGCAUCCUGGACCGACAUUGACGCUGAGGAGCGAAAGCUAGGGGAGCAAACGGG
RNAcentral lists this ribosomal RNA (253 nucleotides) under uncultured bacterium. RNAcentral describes it as "partial 16S ribosomal RNA". It matches the Rfam family "Bacterial small subunit ribosomal RNA", at positions 524 to 776 of the family's 1533-position model. The record is from RNAcentral.